GCGGAGGAAAAGAAACCAACAGGGAUUGCCUCAGUAACGGCGAGUGAAGCGGCAAAAGCUCAAAUUUGAAAUCUAGCACUUUCAGUGUUCGAGUUGUAAUUUGAAGAAGGUAACUUUGGUUUUGGCUCUUGUCUAUGUUCCUUGGAACAGGACGUCACAGAGGGUGAGAAUCCCGUGCGAUGAGAUGCCCAAUUCCAUGUAAAGUGCUUUCGAAGAGUCGAGUUGUUUGGGAAUGCAGCUCUAAGUGGGUGGUAAAUUCCAUCUAAAGCUAAAUAUUGGCGAGAGACCGAUAGCGAACAAGUACAGUGAUGGAAAGAUGAAAAGAACUUUGAAAAGAGAGUGAAAAAGUACGUGAAAUUGUUGAAAGGGAAGGGCUUGAGAUCAGACUUGGUAUUUUGCGUUCCCUUCCUUUUUGGUUGGGUUCCUCGCAGUUUACUGGGCCAGCAUCGGUUUGGAUGGUAGGAUAAUGACAUUGGAAUGUAGCUUUACUUCGGUGAAGUGUUAUAGACUUUGUUGAUACUGCCUAUCUAGACCGAGGACUGCGUCUUUGACUAGGAUGCUGGCGUAAUGAUCUUAAGCCGCCCGUCUUG
RNAcentral lists this ribosomal RNA (590 nucleotides) under Dujonia zeylanoides. RNAcentral's name for it is "eukaryotic LSU rRNA". It matches the Rfam family "Eukaryotic large subunit ribosomal RNA", at positions 50 to 656 of the family's 3401-position model. The record is from RNAcentral. Lineage: Eukaryota; Fungi; Ascomycota; Pichiomycetes; Serinales; Debaryomycetaceae.